Non-coding RNA from Podarcis muralis (Common wall lizard), 2955 nucleotides. The record is from RefSeq and is a predicted model, not a curated record. NCBI's taxonomy places the organism in Eukaryota, Metazoa, Chordata, Lepidosauria, Squamata, Lacertidae.
CAACAGCUCUUGCCAUCAGAAAGCUCUUCCUGAUGUUUAGUCGGAAUCUUCUUGCUUGUAACUUGAAGACAUUGGUUCGGGUCCUAGCAUCUGAAGCAAAAUUCACAUAUAACUUGGUGCUACUUUUUAAGACACACACACAAAUCAACCAUCUAUGAGUAGCAUAGCAUAUGAGCUAAGAAGAGCACGUGAAUUUUUGCUGUAGUCAUUUCCAUGAAGAUGAAUGUACAGUGGUUGUGGUGUAUAACAAUAAUUUGUGCUAGUCAACCAAAUGCUGACUUCUUCCUGUCACAUGAGCCAGUAGCUUACAGAUCUCGGGGGGGGGGAUUUGUUCUCCAUUCCCUUACCCUCCAGCCUUUGGUUAAGCUAGCAGAGAGGACCCUCUGCCCCAUGGGCCUAAUUGAACCCACCAGGCUUCUGAAUUUAGUCUGUGAGACCAUUUGGGGCAAUCCAUGGCCACCCAUCAGUCAUAUGACAGAUUUCUGCACCUAUCUCUAUUAGCGUUAAGUGCUCAGAUCAGAGAUAAGGGAUUUCCUCACACGACAGCACUAAGAUGGGAGACGAGCCUCUCCUUGCUACUUAAUAGUAAAAAGCAUCAGUAGAGGCUUAUCUCCAGUCUUAGUGCUGUGGGACCAGUAAGCUUAACCAUUCAGCUCACAUCUUGUUAUGUGGGAUCGAGUGUUUUCUUUCCAUGUGCUCUGCAGGGCAGGAAGGGAGCGCUGUGCUGUGGCAUCCUUUUUGAAAGAUGAGUGGCUGAAGAAAUUUGGAGAGACUGAGCAGCGUGAACUGCAAUUGAUUGCACAGAGGACGCUACUGGCAAGAUCUAAGUUUUAAUGAGAUAGCUCACCAGUGAGCCUGUUAUAGGAUAUAGUGCCAAAGGCCAGAUACUUCACUUCUUCAAGUAGUGUAAUAAAAAUAACUUUUAUUUGCAAUUUAUAAAUCGACUUAAAUUGGUUUUCCUUCUAAUGCUUUUAUUAUCAUGCAAAUGAGCUGCCACAAAGCUGUUAAAUUAUCUUUGUUGCAGAGAAUAUUGGCACUAACUUAUAAACCAUGCUCCUUUUUUAAAUAGGCAUUCAUGUUUUAUGUUGAAAUGUCGCCAUAAAUAUCCAGUGAUAACUUUUUAAUUUCUUCAUUAAAGAGGAAGGGUGAGGGGUUUCGUAACACGUUCCGCAGGAGUUAAGCUGAAGAUUGUCAUUUGUCCCCACCCACCUUUCAUUUGUGUGGGACACUCAAAAUAGCCUCUUGAAAUCCUACCUUUUGCUAAGUGUCGAGAAUGAAAAGGAUAGGUGGAAAGUAGAAAAGGGGUUGGGAACUGGAGCUGGCUGGUGGGCUGGAUCCUCGUCUCCCCUGCCUGCUGUGAGCCAUAUGUGGCAAGUAGGCAUCACACAUGACAUCAGGCAGGUGGUGUGACUUGUGAACCAAAUGGCAUCGCCUGGCAAGCCUAAUUGGGUCCAAGAGCAGGGUGUUUCCCACCACUGCAGUAGCAUUUCUGUUCUAAGUCCUGAUCCAGAAAUGUACCUGAGCAGAAGUAGGCUGUGUGCAUGGCUGCUUAACUGCCCAGUGCUUUGAGAAUACUAGUGAUCCCUUUUGGUGAAAUGGAGUGCUUAAGCACAAGACAACUUUUAAGCCCAUCAAUGUUGUUUCUUAUUAUACAAAAUAUACUUUUACCUUCAUGGCCUACUUGUGAGCUUCCCAGAGUCAGCUGGCUGACCACUGUUGGUGGUGAAAAGUUGCAGAAGACUCAUAGGUCCAAUUCACCAAGGACCUCUGUCAUUUUAUGCUGCAGUGAAGUGCACACUAAGCAGUGAGGUCUCUAGCAGUUGCCAGUUUCUGUCUAUACUGAGUAGCAAACCCACUUUGGGUCCACGCCUCAUUUGGUGAGAGAAUUGGCCUUGGUUGUGCUGAUUAUGUUUUUCAGGUGGGAUAAGGAGUAGGACUCUGUUGAUUCUGCUUUGAUAUGGUAGGUCAUGUUAUCCUCCUGGGCCAUCUCCGUGAGUUGGGGGCAGUGGUUUAUGGUGAUUACAACCCAAACCAGGCUUUUCUAAAUAGUAGUAUUGGGUGACUGUACCUCAGGCCUUCUCAAAAUUCAUCUGCAGGCUGUUAAAAUCAUUAGGAAAUUUUGGACAAGGUGUCACCAGCUCCAUUGUUCUGUAAAUCAGCAGAGGCAAUGCAUGUAUGGAAAUGGUGUCUGGAGGCAAUUGUGGACUGGAUGAGGGCUAUUGCAGCUGAAUCCUGACAAAAUGGAGACUCCAUGGAUAGGUGGUUCCAAAGUCUAGGAAUUGGGUUGUGUACCAGUUCUGGAUGAGAUUACAAUUCUUCAGAAGGAGCAGGUGUGUAGUUUGGGGGCCUAGAGGCCCACCUGACCUUGCUGUCUUAGAGCACCCAUGGCCAACUUUGGUUGGGGCAGCAACUUCAGUACAAGGAUGGCCUUGUUACAGUGGUCCAUUGAUUACUAAUUUCACAGUUACUACUGCAAUGCAUUGCAUGUGGGGCCAUACUUGCACCUGGUUCAGAGGCUGCAACUUGUGCAAAAUUUAGUUCUUAGGUUGCUUAGAAAGAUCUGCACUGGGUGUCUAAGUCAUGGUUUUGGGGUCUCUAAGCAACUUGGGGCCAGUUAAGAUCAUCUGAGGAGAACCUGCUGGUUGUUCCAUGCCUAGUGAAGUGUUACUUGGUGACAAUGUGAAAGCAGGCAUUUUGAGUGAUAGCACCCACCCCAUGGAAUGCUCUCCCUUGGUUAUUUCGUGGAUACAUUAAUGACUAAUAUAUGCCUCUUUAACAUUUAUAAGUUUGCCCCAGCUGUCUUGGACUCUUAUUUUUGACCACUGCUCAGUUUCGUAAUGUACGAUUGAGUUUUGUUUUUAAUCUUAUCUUUUCCCUAGCUUCUUGGAAACAUUAUUAAAUGUUGUAUUUUUAUUCAGCAGUACAAACAUUGAUUAAAUAAUCAAUGUUUAGUCA